Molecule: long non-coding RNA, 260 nt
Filed under: Lathyrus oleraceus (garden pea)
Lineage: Eukaryota; Viridiplantae; Streptophyta; Magnoliopsida; Fabales; Fabaceae
Description: Pisum sativum (pea) long non-coding RNA (PSAT_LNC013008)
Source: RNAcentral
GGAAACUAGGUAGGGCACUAUAUAUCACAACGGUCAAAGUAUACAACUAUUGUGAUAUAAAGUGAAAGGUCAUGGGUUCGAAACCCAAUGAUUAUAUGGUUUAUAAUAUUUCACGCUUUAUCUAUAAUAAAAGUUGGUAUAAAUAACUGUGAAUAAAUACUUUGUUUUUUUUUUAUUUUACUUUUUCAUAUAUUACAGACUUGUAUUUUUUUACUUGUAUAUUAUACAUAUAUAUAACUAAAUAUUUAAAAAUAUCAAAU